CUGAGACUAACCAUCGCAGGAGAGAACCAGGAAGAAGCAAAAGGACAUGGGCCCCAAGAGCCCUUGUGUGGUUCUGGGGUGCCCAGUUCUCUGUGCCUCUCUGCUUGAGCCAGACAAGGAAAUGUGAUGUUUUCAUUUGUAGGAAAACCCAUCCAAGGGCCAAGAGUGGCAGUCAGGGCCUUUCAGAGCUCUUCUGCCCUCUGUAGCCAGAGGAAAGGAAAUUCAGACUUCCAGGAAAACCAAGGCUUAAAGAAAACCAGAAACCAGACAACGUGAUUCAACCAUCUAGGGGUGGAGUUGGUGAGCUGAGGCUGUUGGAUUUCUACUUGACUCUGUUCUUUCUGUUCUUCCCUAACUAACCAACUCAGGGAAGGAAGGGAGCAGGGGAAGCCAAGAGAAGAUUGGUGGCUCCUAAGGAAGUUCAAGCUGGUUUCCGGCAGGGCCAUGGCUAUGAUGGUAUAUCUUCUUUGUCCACUGGAUUUGGAAUCACCUGGGAGACACACCUCUGGGCAUGUCAGUGAGGAAGCUGAUGGAGAGAUUUAACGGAGUAGGGAAGACCACCGUGAAUGUGGGUGGCACCAUCUCACUGUCUAGCACCAUCUCAUGGCCUGAGAUCCAGGACUUAAUAAAGAGUGAGAAAGAGGAAAGCCAGAAUUCCCUGCUCUCGAUUCCUGGUCUGACAAAGCAUACAAGGUCCCAGCCCUGUACCCCGGCCACUACAAGCUGCUUGUGCCUUCCCUCAGAUCUCAGAUUGUGAGCCAAAGUCCACCUUUUCCCCUAAGGAGCUUGCUAGGGAUCUUGUCACCAUGAGAAAUGUAGAUGAACACACACUGUUAUCCGAGAAGCAGACCACUUGAAAGGACCGAGGGAAUGAGCUCUCUGGGAGACCCCACACCUCAGGAAGUUCCGGGUCUUUCUCACCUCAACGGGGAGGAUUCCAGGGGUGUCAUCAGAAACUGCUUUGCCUUCUGCACUGUCUCAAAACAAAUUACCUCAGGUGAGAUAUUUUAUAGACCAUGGGUUACUUCCCUCAGCUCAGAAGACUGGGAGAUCCAAGAUCAAGAGACUAGCAGCUGUGGGCUCUCAAGAGCCUUGUCUGCUCUGAAGAAGGGCAAAGGACUACAAGAUUGAUUCCUCGACCCUAGUGCAAGGCACUAACCCCACUAAUUGGACACACCCAGACCACAGGUUAUAGCGCUGUGCUGGGGACUGAGUUGGAACAGUUUUCUCAUACUCAAGUGGAAGCACUCACUACCUAAGUUUGGUGUGGUGACAGGUAUCACUGUUGGGCUGAAAGCUGAAACGGGCUUUUCCUUUCUUUCUCACUUGUACGUAAUUAGUCCUAAA
Molecule: long non-coding RNA, 1347 nt
Filed under: Cricetulus griseus (Chinese hamster)
Lineage: Eukaryota; Metazoa; Chordata; Mammalia; Rodentia; Cricetidae
Description: lncRNA (ENSCGRG00015030054.1)
Source: RNAcentral